Molecule: ribosomal RNA, 163 nt
Filed under: uncultured bacterium
Lineage: Bacteria
Description: partial 16S ribosomal RNA
Rfam family: Bacterial small subunit ribosomal RNA
Source: RNAcentral
UGAGCAAUCUGCCCUUCUCAUCGGAAUAAGCGUUGGAAACGACGUCUAAUGCCGAAUACGACCUCCUUUCGCAUGAUCGGAGGUGGAAAGCUCCGGCGGAGAAGGAUGAGCUCGCGGCCUAUCAGCUAGUUGGUGUGGGUAAUGGCCCACCAAGGCGACGAGU